AAAGCACUUUCAGUCGUGAGAAGGUAGUGUAGUUAUAGCUGCAUUAUUUGACGUUAGCGACAGAAGAAGCACCGGCUAACUCCGUGCCAGCAGCCGCGGUAAUACGGAGGGUGCGAGCGUUAAUCGGAAUUACUGGGCGUAAAGCGCAUGCAGGUGGUUUGUUAAGUUCAGAUGUGAAAGACCCGGGGCGUCAACCUCGGAAUAGCAUUUGAAACUAGGCAGACUAGAGUACUGUAGAGGGGGGUAGGAAUUUCAGGUGUAGCGGUGAAAUAGCGUAGAGAUCUGAAGGAAUACCGGUGGCGAAGGCGGCCCCCUCGGACAGAUACUGACACUCAGAUGCGAAAGCGUGGGGAGCAAACAGGAUUAGAUACCCUGGUAG
Molecule: ribosomal RNA, 379 nt
Filed under: uncultured bacterium
Lineage: Bacteria
Description: bacterial SSU rRNA
Rfam family: Bacterial small subunit ribosomal RNA
Source: RNAcentral